CCUACGUGGUGCAGCAGUGAGGAAUAUUGGUCAAUGGGCGCGAGCCUGAACCAGCCAAGUAGCGUGAAGGAUGACUGCCCUACGGGUUGUAAACUUCUUUUAUAAAGGAAUAAAGUGAGGCACGUGUGCCUUUUUGUAUGUACUUUAUGAAUAAGGAUCGGUUAACUCCGUGCCAGAAGCCGGGGUAAUACGGAGGAUCCGAGCUUUAUCCGGAUUUAUUGGGGUUAAAGGGAGGGUGGAUGGGUUGUUAAGUCAGUUGUGAAAGUUUGCGGCUCAACCGUAAAAUUGCAAUUGAUACUGGCAGCCUUGAGUACAGUUGAGGUAGGCGGAAUUCGUGGUGUAGCGGUGAAAUGCUUAGAUAUCACGAAGAACUCCGAUUGCGAAGGCAGCCUACUAAACUGCCACUGACAUUGAUGCUCGAAAGUGUGGGUAUCAAACAGGAUUAGAUACCCCGGUAGUC
Molecule: ribosomal RNA, 460 nt
Filed under: uncultured bacterium
Lineage: Bacteria
Description: partial 16S ribosomal RNA
Rfam family: Bacterial small subunit ribosomal RNA
Source: RNAcentral